GCAGUCGAGCGGACCGACGGGAGCUUGCUCCCUUAGGUCAGCGGCGGACGGGUGAGUAACACGUGGGUAACCUGCCUGUAAGACUGGGAUAACUCCGGGAAACCGGGGCUAAUACCGGAUGCUUGAUUGAACCGCAUGGUUCAAUCAUAAAAGGUGGCUUUUAGCUACCACUUACAGAUGGACCCGCGGCGCAUUAGCUAGUUGGUGAGGUAACGGCUCACCAAGGCGACGAUGCGUAGCCGACCUGAGAGGGUGAUCGGCCACACUGGGACUGAGACACGGCCCAGACUCCUACGGGAGGCAGCAGUAGGGAAUCUUCCGCAAUGGACGAAAGUCUGACGGAGCAACGCCGCGUGAGUGAUGAAGGUUUUCGGAUCGUAAAACUCUGUUGUUAGGGAAGAACAAGUACCGUUCGAAUAGGGCGGUACCUUGACGGUACCUAACCAGAAAGCCACGGCUAACUACGUGCCAGCAGCCGCGGUAAUACGUAGGUGGCAAGCGUUGUCCGGAAUUAUUGGGCGUAAAGCGCGCGCAGGCGGUUUCUUAAGUCUGAUGUGAAAGCCCCCGGCUCAACCGGGGAGGGUCAUUGGAAACUGGGGAACUUGAGUGCAGAAGAGGAGAGUGGAAUUCCACGUGUAGCGGUGAAAUGCGUAGAGAUGUGGAGGAACACCAGUGGCGAAGGCGACUCUCUGGUCUGUAACUGACGCUGAGGCGCGAAAGCGUGGGGAGCGAACAGGAUUAGAUACCCUGGUAGUCCACGCCGUAAACGAUGAGUGCUAAGUGUUAGAGGGUUUCCGCCCUUUAGUGCUGCAGCAAACGCAUUAAGCACUCCGCCUGGGGAGUACUGUCGCAGGACUGAACUCAAGAAUUGACAGGGGCCCGCACAGCGUGGAGCAUGUG
Molecule: ribosomal RNA, 900 nt
Filed under: uncultured Bacillus sp.
Lineage: Bacteria; Bacillati; Bacillota; Bacilli; Caryophanales; Bacillaceae
Description: bacterial SSU rRNA
Rfam family: Bacterial small subunit ribosomal RNA
Source: RNAcentral